CCCUCGCCUCCGCCUCCGUUUCGUCCGGAGCGCUUUCUUGAUUUCUGCUCUGGGCAAGCAUCUCUCCAGCUCUCGAUCUCUCUCUCUCUGCCUGUCUCUUGCUCACCACCCCCCACCCCUGCUGUCCUCUCCUGCCGCCUCCUCAUCUUCCCGGGGAGAGAGGGGGCCACGCUGCUGGAGGCAGACACAGCGAGGCAACGUGCUACCCAGGCCGGUAACCAAGGAAGUGGUUUCCUUAGCAACAGAACUGCAGGCCUGGGUUCCACGGGGUGUCCCUUAGCUGUUACAGGUAUGAACUCUAUUCGGACAGAAACCAUGCCUUCACCUCCGAACAAAGACUAGAUAAUGAACAAACAUUUAGCCAAUGGAAGAAUGAAUUGUUCAAUCACAUUUAACACUAUCUACCAACCUCAGCUCUCACAAACUUUGCAGUGAAUGGAUAGAAGGAUCCAGCUGCCUGGACAAUGGCUGAUAAGAAACGGAAAUGAAAACUACUCACAGCGACGAGAAGAGCUAAUGUUUAUGGAGAACUAGUUAUAUUCUGGAGUACUAGUUAUAGAUAUACUGUGCUAGAAGCUUCCCACGUAUAACGUCCCUGAGUCAUGACCAGGACCCUGGGAGGCAGAGACUCAGUCUCCCCCUUUUGCAAUCAGGGAACUGAGGGUCAGGGAAGAAAUCAUGGAGCAAGCCGCUCGGAGAAUCAGAGCCUCCACUCAAACCGCCACAAACUUUCAAACCCUGAUGAAGUCAACUCUGGACAAAAAUCAAAGCUUUGACCCCUAAUCCAAGACUUCCAACAGCCAGGACAACGCUUUGUGAAGAAAAUGACUUAAGAACUGAAUGUUUGCAUUUUAAGGAAAUGACAGGGCUCAGGUCUCGGGCUGACCACUGGGAUAGCCGAGUGGACACUUCAGUGACCACACUUGACAAGGAAUACAAUCUCUGUGGGAUAGGGGGUGGGGGAGUUUGGAAAAGUCACUAAACAGACAGGUGCAACCCCUGACCAUCAACAGGGGCAAACCUCAGGGAAGGGGGGGGAAAUCUGAUUUCCAGAGUUACCACAUCAUACUACUCGAAAUGCCCGGCUGU
RNAcentral lists this long non-coding RNA (1089 nucleotides) under Felis catus (domestic cat). Its description in RNAcentral is "lncRNA (ENSFCAG00000052202.1)". Lineage: Eukaryota; Metazoa; Chordata; Mammalia; Carnivora; Felidae. The record is from RNAcentral.